Molecule: ribosomal RNA, 120 nt
Filed under: Scytosiphon lomentaria
Lineage: Eukaryota; Phaeophyceae; Ectocarpales; Scytosiphonaceae
Source: RNAcentral
UGUCUUGGUGUUUAAAGGAUAGUGGAACCACAUUGAUCCAUUUCGAACUCAAUGGUGAAACACUAUAACAGUAACAAUACUUAAGGAGGAGUCCUUUGGGAAGAUAGCUUAUGCCUAGAC